GCUGGGCAUGGUGGCAUAUGCCUGAAAUCCCAGCAACUCUGGAGGCAGAGGCAGGAGGAUUGCAAGUUCAAGGCCAGCCUUGGCAACUUAGCAAUGCCCUCAGUAACUUAGUAAGACCCUGUCUCAA
Molecule: small RNA, 127 nt
Filed under: Marmota monax (woodchuck)
Lineage: Eukaryota; Metazoa; Chordata; Mammalia; Rodentia; Sciuridae
Source: RNAcentral